GGCUUGAGGUGGCUUCCGGCCGCCAGGCGAGACUCCGCGGGAAAACUCCCUGCUAGAGAGACUAGGAGAUUUGGGGCUGCGGCCGUUUCCUCCGGAGCACCCACGGGACUGUGUGCUGGGGUCCCUCCACCGGCUGUGUCCUUUAUUCUUCUUUCUCACCCAACGAUUUACCUGAACGGUUAUAAAGUGCACGUUAUUUCCCUAAGGUCCUUCUUACUGAUGUGUUGCUCUUCUUCAUGGCUCGUGAAAACUAUUAGAGUCAUCCAAGGGUGGGAAGAGAGAUCAGCAACGUUAACUGGGUGUCAAGAAAACAUACCGAGAUUGAAGCCAUCCACUUCUGCAGGAACACCGAAAAGAAAGCUUACAAUCUGAAGGUGUCCGUUCCUACACUGGUCAGACCACUGUCCUUGGGGCAGCUGGGGUCUUUGGGACCCUCCACCGGGCUCGCCGGUCCGUCGGACUUUUGGCUGAGAUCCGUGUCAGACUCCUCCGAAUAGUCGUCUGUUGGCAUCGAGGGCUGAACCCCUGAGGUGCUGCAUGAACUUGAG
Molecule: long non-coding RNA, 548 nt
Filed under: Homo sapiens (human)
Lineage: Eukaryota; Metazoa; Chordata; Mammalia; Primates; Hominidae
Description: HSALNT0233317
Source: RNAcentral